GUGCACACACCCCCAUGCGUGCAGGAAGCAAGACCUGUAUCCAAGGGGAAGUUCAUUUCCGUUCAGGGGUGCUCAGGCGGGCGUUUCUGCAGCUCAGGCCCCCUCGGCGGGUGCCGCUCUGUUUGACAAGCCAGUGUCUCUCCCCGUCUUUUUCUCCCCCCACCCCAAUCACAGAUUCUGAGGAUGACGGAGAGUCCGAGGCGGCCAAGCAGCUGAUUCAGCCGAUAGCUGAGAAAAUCAUUGCCCAGUACAAAGCUAAAGAGGAAGACGCACCACUUCUGUUCUUCGUAGCCGGGGAGGAUGACAUGACUGACUCCCUGCGAGAUUACACCAACCUGCCCGAGGCUGCCCCUUUGCUCACCAUCCUGGACAUGUCAGCCCGGGCCAAGUACGUGAUGGACGUGGAGGAGAUCACCCCCGCCAUUGUGGAGGCCUUUGUGAAUGACUUCCUAGCAGAGAAGCUUAAACCAGAGCCCAUCUAGCGUGGCUGCAGCCUCCUGAGACGUUAUUUAAAACUCAGCCUUCUCCUCCUCCUCCUCCUCCUUCCUUCCGCCUUUGGACUUACCCAGCGUGCCCCGAAUCACACCACCCAAGUGUCCAGCCUCUCUGUGGUGCCUUGUUUCUGCAUUAAACUCCUCAGCCAGCACCCUGGAGUGCGGAAUCAGCAGCGGCAGAAUCCACCGUGUUUGGAGACUCUGUUUGGGAGCAUGGGAUGGCCGAGGGUCCGGCUAGAGCGGGGCUGCAUCACUCUUGCAAAGUCACUAGCUUUUGGUGAAGGAUCUCCCAGGGUGUCUGGGGCAGAGUGAGCGUGGAGGGCCAGUGGGUCCUGCUCGGGCUCUGACUCUGGCCUCAGCACACGCAGAGCCCCGGACGGCCAGAGGGGAACCGCCGGGUGACACCUGCGUGGAGGCUGAGCUGAGAAAGGGCCUUAAGUGACACGGUCUUUCUCGGUCUGAGAGAAAAGCAGCCCACUCAUGUGUUCUCAGGCAGGGGAUCUCCAAAUGCAAAAGGAAGC
RNAcentral lists this small RNA (1015 nucleotides) under Pongo abelii (Sumatran orangutan). Its description in RNAcentral is "retained intron". Lineage: Eukaryota; Metazoa; Chordata; Mammalia; Primates; Hominidae. The record is from RNAcentral.